Non-coding RNA from Podarcis muralis (Common wall lizard), 401 nucleotides. Lineage: Eukaryota; Metazoa; Chordata; Lepidosauria; Squamata; Lacertidae. The record is from RefSeq and is a predicted model, not a curated record.
ACAAUGCUACUCUUUUCCCUUGGUCAAGCUGGGAGGUCCAAUAUGGAAUGCAUGGACAAGGGUCAACAGAAGAUGGAUGAAGUCAAUGACUGAGGACAAUCAAGCCAAUCCCAACACAAAAGAAUAAAUGGGAACAGAUCUGACAUCAAAAAGCUCAGUAUGCAGAAACCGGAGGAAAUGAAUCCCAGCCUUAAGUGGCCAGUCUUGAACAAAGGAACUUUGAAAAGAGACACCAGUGUGAAACUACUAAGUUUGAUUCUAUCAUCUGUAGCCAGAAUCAAGAUAAUGGACUUUUAUCCCUCUACAGGUGUGAAUUAGCUUACCAGUUCCAGGAUGUUUGUGUUAUGGUCACUGCUGUGUGAAUGGUCACUGUAAUAAAGUUACACACACUUAAGCUUUAA